GCAGUGUAAGCAGAAUUAAGGUUCUGCUACCUCUGUGUUUAGAAUAUUCCCAAUGGAUUUUUCAUUUUUCAGGUGCUAUUUUUUGACCCUACAUAGACUUUAAUUUAAAAUGAAUUUGGUAACGUUUCUCCUCUAUCUCUACAUAUAUUCAUGCUUUUCACCUGCUCUUUUAACACCUGCUUUUAGUUUCUGAGGCACUUUUUCUGAACUCUACUUGUGCACUGGAUCCCUCCUCCUUUCUCUGCCAGGCUGUGUUUACUUUAUCCUUACAUCGCCACUUAGUGAUUCCUUUCUUUGUAUAAACAUGGUAAAUGUCUUCAUUAGCCUAAAAGGAAAGACCAAAUAAAACCUUUCCUACCACUUGGAUGCGUUUGCAUCCUGACUUCUGAAAUGCCUCCAGCCUCCAUUUUCUCCCUUUCCAGUUAUUCCUUAGCCCAGCCAUCUCUAUCUUUAGCUCCUACAAUUUUCUUAGGAUAUUCUGGGAAAGAUGAGCGGAGACUGCCUGCCUUGUCAAAUCUAGUGUCUUUUUUUCAGUCCUCACACUGCUUGACCUAUGUAUAACCUCCUAUACUUCCCUCUUUGGAUACUCCUCUGGGUUUUCUGUGGUAGUCAGGAUUCCUCCCUGAGAUUUAUUUCCCAUGAGUCUUGACCCCUCCCCUCAGUUGGUGCUAUUUCCCCCUACCCGCCCUCCGAUGAUCUUAUCAGAGCCCACAGGUUCAGUUUUCUUUCAUGCUACCUGAAUGUCCUGAUAAACUGGCUCGCUCUCUUCUUUACCUUCCAUAAUGGCAUUACCAUUUACCACGCCACCCAAGAUACUUACUAGGAACCUCAAAGUAUUGUAUUCUUUUUCUCCAUCACACUCAUACUUAAUCAUCAAGUCCUUUUGAGCUUGUCUCCUCUUGAAUAUGUCCCUUCUUAAUUCCUGCUGCCUUCUUAGUAAAGGCCUUCAUUCUUUUUUCCCUAGUAAUAAUCUUUUCCAUAUGUUCCGGUUAAAAUACCAUGUUCUCCCUAUUCCUUAUUACAUAGUUAGCAUUCCUUGAAAAAAAACAAUUCUCUCAGGCCUCCAUACCUUUAACAUGUUACCCACUCUGCCUCUGCUCUUCUGGAACUAGAACACUCAUCCUUGAUUGAAGGCUGGGCUUCUCUAUGAAGGUUGGUCCUGCCUCCUUACUUGAGGUGAAGCUUUGUACAUGCCUGUAUUACGGACAUCCUCUUAUUUAAGUGUUUGUCUCUUUCAUCAUUGGGACUCCAGCACCCAGCAUAGUCCCUAGUAUACUAGUUGGUGCCUAAUAAAUAGUAGCUAUUAUUAGAAAAGGAAGGGUGAAAUUGACAUGGGAAUUACUAAAAUGUAUAUGGAAAUGAUUUUUAAAGGGAAAGGUAAUGAUUUUCUGGCAGGAAAAGCAGCAAUGACAAGAUUACUUAAGUCUUGUGAAAUAACACUUCUCUUCCUUGACCUGCUGCUUCCCUUUUUUACCACACACACACGCACACAUACCACAGCCCUUUGAGACUGAAAGCAGCUCUAUUGAGAAUAGUAGUGUCAACUGUAUUAUGUAGAAAUUCUAAAGUUUUUGGGAUUAUUUCAUAGCCCUGACCUUGCUACUUCUCUCCACUUUAUGUGGCAGGUUUAAUCUCAGGUCUCCCUCAUACACUUCUCAGCCUCAGCACCUAACCCUCACACAACACUCCAGUAUUGAUGCAGUCAAUCUUGUAUAACAUUUUUUGAAUGUCCAAUGUGCAAAGCACCAUGUUGGAAAUUAUACAGAGGUGAAUAAGACAAAAACUCUUGCUCUCAAAGAUGUCAGUCUUUUUCUUUGCAAGGAUAACACAUGUAGAGUAAAAUGCAUAAAGGGGACUAAUUUUAAAUGUACAGCUUAAUUAAUUUUUAUGUAUGUUAACACCCAUGUCACCACCAUGUUUAGGACAUUUCCAGCACCCCUGAAAUUUCCUUCAUGCCCCUUCCCAGUCUGUACCUACACCUCUAAAUCUAUUUUCAAUCCUAAUGGCCUUUUAAAUAACUGGGCUUCUCACAACCAUAGUGAACAGAAACAGCUGGGUUGUCAACAUCUAACCUAAUACUUCGGGAAAACUCGUGAUAGUUUCCAUGUUAAGAGAGACAUGGAGCAGGGCAUUGGCAUGGUGGAUGGAUCACGCCUGUAAUCCCAGCACUUUGGGAGGCCGAGGUAGGGGGAUUGCUUGAGCCCAGGAGUUCAAGACUAGCCUGGGUAAUAUAAGGAAAACCUGUCUCUGCAAAAAAAAAAAAAAAAAAAGAGGAUACAAACAAAUGGAAGAACAUUCCAUGCUCAUGGGUAGGAAGAAUCAAUAUCGUGAAAAUGGCCAUACUGCCCAACGUAAUUUACAGAUUCAAUGCCAUCCCCAUCAAGCUACCAAUGCCUUUCUUCACAGAAUUGGAAAAAACUACUUUAAAGUUCAUAUGGAACCAAAAAAGAGCCCGCAUCGCCAAGUCAAUCCUAAGCCAAAAGAACAAAGCUGGAGGCAUCACACUACCUGACUUCAAACUAUACUACAAGGCUACAGUAACCAAAACAGCAUGGUACUGGUACCAAAACAGAGAUACAGAUCAAUGGAACAGAACAGAGCCCUCAGAAAUAACGCCACAUAUCUACAACUAUCUGAUCUUUGACAAACCUGAGGAAAACAAGCAAUGGGGAAAGGAUUCCCUAUUUAAUAAAUGGUGCUGGGAAAACUGGCUAGCCAUAUGUAGAAAGCUGAAACUGGAUCCCUUCCUUACACCUUAUACAAAAAUAAUUCAAGAUGGAUUAAAGACUUAAACGUUAGACCUAAAACCAUAAAAACCCUAGAAGAAAACCUAGACAUUACCAUUCAGGACAUAGGCAUGGGCAAGGACUUCAUGUCUAAAACACCAAAAGCAAUGGCAACAAAAGCCAAAAUUGACAAAUGGGAUCUAAUUAAACUAAAGAGCUUCUGCACAGCAAAAGAAACUACCAUCAGAGUGAACAGGCAGCCUACAAAAUGGGAGAAAAUUUUUGCAACCUACUUAUCUGACAAAGGGCUAAUAUCCAGAAUCUACAAUGAACUCAAACAAAUUUACAAGAAAAAAACAAACAACCCCAUCAAAAAGUGGGCGAAGGACAUGAACAGACACUUCUCGAAAGAAGACAUUUAUGCAGCCAAAAAACACAUGAAAAAAUGCUCAUCAUCACUGGCCAUCAGAGAAAUGCAAAUCAAAACCACAAUGAGAUACCAUCUCACACCAGUUAGAAUGGCAGUCAUUAAAAAGUCAGGAGACAACAGGUGCUGGAGAGGAUGUGGAGAAAUAGAACACUUUUACACUGUUGGUGGGACUGUAAACUAGUUCAACCAUUGUGGAAGUCAGUGUGGCGAUUCCUCAGGGAUCUAGAACUAGAAAUACCAUUUGACCCAGCCAUCCCAUUACUGGGUAUAUACCCAAAGGACUAUAAAUCAUGCUGCUAUAAAGACACAUGCACACGUAUGUUUAUUGCGGCAUUAUUCACAAUAGCAAAGACUUGGAACCAACCCAAAUGUCCAACAAUGAUAGACUGGAUUAAGAAAAUGUGGCACAUAUACACCAUGGAAUGCUAUGCAGCCAUAAAAAAUGAUGAAUUCAUGUCCUUUGUAGGGACAUGGAUGAAAUUGGAAAACAUCAUUCUCAGUAAACUAUCGCAAGAACAAAAAACCAAACACCACAUAUUCUCACUCAUAGGUGGGAAUUGAACAAUGAGAACACAUGGACACAGGAAGGGGAAUAUCACACUGGGGACUGUUGUGGGGUGGGGGGAGGGGGGAGGGAUAGCAUUGGGAGAUAUACCUAAUGCUAGAUGAUGAGUUAGUGGGUGCAGUGCACCAGCAUGGCACAUGUAUACAUAUGUAACUAACCUGCACAAUGUGCACAUGUACCCUAAAACUUAAAGUAUAAUACAAAAUAAAAAAAAUAAAAAAUAAAUAAGAAAAAGAAAGCCAGGUAUGGUGACAUGUGCCUGUGGUCCCAGCUAUUAGGGAGGCUGAGGUGGGAGGAUCCCUUGAGCCCAGGAGGUUGAGUCUGUAGUGAGCAGUGAUUACGCCACUGCACUCCAGCCUGGGCAAGACCCUGUCUCAAAAAAAAAAAAGACUUAGAAUUGGUGAUCCAGGCCGCCUAAUGGCAUCAAAUAAUUUGUUAUAUCUUUAAUUUAUUGAAGGAUCACCACAUGCUUUUAAAUAGCAUGGAGAAAUGGAAAGAAUAGGGACUUUUUACUCAGGUAAUACCCAGCCUGCUACCUAACAGGUUGUGUUGUACUAAAUAAAAUGGUACAUAAGAAGAAACACUGUAAAUUAUAUAGUGCGAAUCAAAUAUUGUUAAUAAACCAAUAUCUGUAUAUCCUAUGUCCCUGAUUAAUCUUUAAUUUAGAUACUCCUUCUAGUUAUCUAAUACACAGCAGAGUGAGAAAAAUCAUUAUGGAUUAGGUUCUUUAGUAAGAAACCUGAGAUGGACUUCUCAUUAGCAUUAACUAGUUAUUGCCCAGCUUUGGAGAGCCUUCUUUUGGCUUAUCAUUUAUUAUAAGCCCAGAAAUAGGUAACUAAUCAGAGAUAAAUGUAUGGGUUGUCUGUAUCUAGUUUUAUGCCUUUUUUUGCCUAAGACGUAGUCAAAUUAAUAUUUUAACUAAUACAUCUUAGCAGAGUUUAGUUAAGCACAAAGUUAACAGUGGGUAGGAUUGAAUCUUGAAAGUAAUCAUGUCUGUAAUGUUUUUCAUGCAUGCAAAAAGCACAGACAAAACCACUCAUGCCCUAUUAAUAAACAAAAUACAGAUCAAAGUUUUCAAAAGUAAUCACUCUAUUUAUUCUAAAUGUCUGUGGCUUUAGGAAAAUACCACCAGCUAGUACUUACCUAUUUAAAGAUGUAGAAUUUAUUAUCCUCUAAUAUUCUUAUCAGUUGUUUCCACAACUUUAGUUUACUAUUGGACUUUCAAAAAUUUAAAGAAUUACAAGUAAAAUUCAUUAAACAUUUGUGUGUGAAUAGUAAUACACAGUAAUUAGUACAGAAUGUUGCUUCUUCAACAAAUUGAGUUUUCAGGGAAAUCAGCAAGUAAAUGAAAUAUAAAUUUUUGGUAAAAGUAUCAAACAUUCAUCUUGCCCAUUUUUCCUCUUAAACUUUAUUAUCUAAUCAAACAUAGUUUUCCAUAAGAUGUAAUAAAAUAUAGAUAAGGUUGGAAUAUUUGAGGAUCCAUUUGUGGAACUGAAUUUAAUGAGACUUCAUUGGUGACACACUCAAUUUUUACCGGGUAAUUAGCUAAUAAUGUUGGUCACUGUCUCACAGUUCAAGUAGCUUUAAGAUGAUGUGGCAAGGAAAACACAAAGCUUUUGGGUAACCAGCGUUCUUAAAUGUAUGGUUUUUGACCAGGUGAACCCUUUAGAAGUGAUUUCUGUUUUAAAAGUAUGUACUUAAAAUACCUUUGGCUGUGAUGAAUGUAGAUCCCAGCAGAAUACCAAAAUCCUAUUUUUUUUGACUGAGUAUUUGUAGAUGCUUAAUGACUGAAAUGAAUUUGGAGGCACUGAUGAAAGUGAUUUUUUUAAAGUUCUCAGGUACUGUUCAAUUAUUUAAUGUUAAGUUUAGUAUCAAGAUACAGUUGUUUUUAAAAUGCCAAAAUGCUGUUUAUUAUACAGAAUAUUUUAUUACAUUUGCAAUAUCUUUGUAUACAGUGAUUUUUUUCUUGAUAAUAUAAUAAAUGGAAAAAUUCUAAAA
RNAcentral lists this small RNA (5719 nucleotides) under Pan troglodytes (chimpanzee). Its description in RNAcentral is "3prime overlapping ncRNA". Lineage: Eukaryota; Metazoa; Chordata; Mammalia; Primates; Hominidae. The record is from RNAcentral.